GCUGGUUCUCCGCGAAAUCUAUUUAGGUAGAGCGUCGAUCGAAUACUCUUGGGGGUAGAGCACUGACUGGGCUAGGGGUCCUCACCGGAUUACCAAACCUUAUCAAACUCCGAAUACCAAGAAGUACUAAUCGGCAGACACACGGCGGGUGCUAACGUCCGUCGUGGAGAGGGAAACAACCCUGACCACCAAUUAAGGUCCCCAAAUAAUGGCUAAGUGUGAAAGGAUGUGGGAUUGCUUUGACAAUGAGGAGGUUGGCUUAGAAGCAGCCACCCUUUAAAGAAAGCGUAAUAGCUCACUAGUCGAGUCGGCCUGCGCGGAAGAUGUAACGGGGCUCAAACUAGGAGCCGAAGCUGCGGAUUUAAUUGUUUCAAUUAAGUGGUAGGGGAGCAUUGUGUAAGCCUGUGAAGGUGUGUUGUAAAGCAUGCUGGAGGUAUCACAAGAGCGAAUGCUGACGUGAGUAACGACAAUGCGAGUGAAAAGCUCGCACGCCGGAAGACCAAGGGUUCCAGUCCAACGUUAAUCGGGGCUGGGUGAGUCGACCCCUAAGGCGAGGCCGAAAGGCGUAGUCGAUGGGAAAUCGGUUAAUAUUCCGAUACUUGUUUAUGAUGCGAUGGAGGGACGGAGAAGGUUAUGCCAGCUUGGCGAUGGUUGUCCAAGUGGAAGGAUGUAGUUAGGUUUAGUAGGCAAAUCCGCUAGACUAUUAAUGAGAUCUGAUAGCAAGCUGUACUUGUACAGCGAAGUGGCAAAUACCCUGCUUCCAGGAAAAGCUUCUAAACUUAUGAUUAUAUGAACCGUACCCCAAACCGACACAGGUGGUCAGGUAGAGAAUACUAAGGCGCUUGAGAGAACUCGGGUGAAGGAACUCGGCAAAAUUGUACCGUAACUUCGGGAGAAGGUAC
Molecule: ribosomal RNA, 902 nt
Filed under: Asterionellopsis glacialis
Lineage: Eukaryota; Bacillariophyta; Plagiogrammaphyceae; Rhaphoneidales; Asterionellopsidaceae
Description: partial Bacterial large subunit ribosomal RNA
Rfam family: Bacterial large subunit ribosomal RNA
Source: RNAcentral